GCAAGGUUAAAACUCAAAUGAAUUGACGGGGGCCCGCACAAGCGGUGGAGCAUGUGGUUUAAUUCGAUGCAACGCGAAGAACCUUACCUGGUCUUGACAUCCACGGAAGUUUUCAGAGAUGAGAAUGUGCCUUCGGGAACCGUGAGACAGGUGCUGCAUGGCUGUCGUCAGCUCGUGUUGUGAAAUGUUGGGUUAAGUCCCGCAACGAGCGCAACCCUUAUCCUUUGUUGCCAGCGGUCCGGCCGGGAACUCAAAGGAGACUGCCAGUGAUAAACUGGAGGAAGGUGGGGAUGACGUCAAGUCAUCAUGGCCCUUACGACCAGGGCUACACACGUGCUACAAUGGCGCAUACAAAGAGAAGCGACCUCGCGAGAGCAAGCGGACCUCAUAAAGUGCGUCGUAGUCCGGAUUGGAGUCUGCAACUCGACUCCAUGAAGUCGGAAUCGCUAGUAAUCGUGGAUCAGAAUGCCACGGUGAAUACGUUCCCGGGCCUUGUACACACCGCCCGUCACACCAUGGGAGUGGGUUGCAAAAGAAGUAGGUAGCUUAACCUUCGGGAGGGCGCUUACCACUUUGUGAUUCAUGACUGGGGUGAAGUCGUAACAAGGUAACCGUAGGGGAACCUGCGGUUGGAUCACCUCCUUACCUUAAAGAAGC
Molecule: ribosomal RNA, 657 nt
Filed under: Escherichia coli
Lineage: Bacteria; Pseudomonadati; Pseudomonadota; Gammaproteobacteria; Enterobacterales; Enterobacteriaceae
Description: bacterial SSU rRNA
Rfam family: Bacterial small subunit ribosomal RNA
Source: RNAcentral